AUGGGUGGCUGCUGCUGUUGUGCAUCAAGAGCGGAGGCGGAUAGAGCACCGGUUCAUAUCUAUCAUCAGCAAAACCAAGAGGAGCAUGAACCUUUAUCUUCUGCCUUUGACGGGUCAUCUCCAGCUUCUGCUAUAGUCGCAGUUGACACAAAUCUGGACACAUCCACUCCUGACACUUACCGGGCACCACCUGCACCAUUGCCUUAUGAUGUUAGUUUGCCAGUUACAGAAAACCCAGAUCUGGAGAAGUCAGAUAUUAAAAGCAAAACAGAUGAUCAGCAGGAAUCUCUGAAGGUGGAUGAAUACGAAUCAUGUGAAAAAGGUGCCCCUGAAGAUAAGAUUGAGGAGGAGGAUGUUUGCCCUAUCUGCCUUGAAGAAUAUGAUGAAGAAAAUCCCCGCUCUAUCACCAAAUGCGAGCAUCAUUUCCAUCUUUGUUGCAUACUCGAAUGGAUGGAGCGAAGUGAGACUUGCCCAGUCUGUGACCAGAUAACUUUGAUAGAUGAGAUGUAUGAAUAG
This 516-nucleotide ribosomal RNA is filed under the name Triticum aestivum (bread wheat). RNAcentral describes it as "partial small subunit ribosomal RNA". Lineage: Eukaryota; Viridiplantae; Streptophyta; Magnoliopsida; Poales; Poaceae. The record is from RNAcentral.